This 440-nucleotide ribosomal RNA is filed under the name uncultured bacterium. RNAcentral's name for it is "partial 16S ribosomal RNA". It matches the Rfam family "Bacterial small subunit ribosomal RNA", at positions 338 to 795 of the family's 1533-position model. The record is from RNAcentral.
CCUACGGGUGGCAGCAGUGGGGAAUAUUGGACAAUGGGGGAAACCCUGAUGCAGCAACGCCGCGUGAGUGAAGAAGUAUUUCGGUAUGGAAAGCUUUAUUAGCAGGGAAGAGAAUGACGGUACGUGAGUAUGAAGCCCCGUCUAACGACGGGACACCAGCCGUGGCAAUAUGGAGGAGGCGAGGGUUAUCCGGAUUUACUGGGUGUAAAGGGGGCGUAGUGGGUUCUGCAAGUCCGAAGUGAAAGCUCGUGGCUCAACCGCGGAAGGAGUUUGGAAACUGUGGAACUGGAGUGCGGGAGAGGCAGGCGGAAUGCGUAGUGUAGCGGUGAAAUGCGUAGAUAUUAGGCAGAACACCGAUGGCGAAGGCAGCUUGCUGGACAAUAACUGACGUUGAGGCUCGAAAGCGUGGGGAGCAAACAGGAUUAGAUACCCGAGUAGUC